Molecule: ribosomal RNA, 857 nt
Filed under: uncultured bacterium
Lineage: Bacteria
Description: partial 16S small subunit ribosomal RNA
Rfam family: Bacterial small subunit ribosomal RNA
Source: RNAcentral
UGCAGUCGNNCGCGAACGGGAUUUCGGUCCUUAUUAGAGUGGCGGACGGGUGAGUAACACGUGGGAAUAUGCCUAUUGGUAAGGAACAACCAUUGGAAACGAUGGCUAAUACCUUAUACGCCCUAAGGGGGAAAGAUUUAUCGCCAAUAGAUUAGCCCGCGCUAGAUUAGCUAGUUGGUGAGGUAAAAGCUCACCAAGGCGACGAUCUAUAUCUGGUUUGAGAGGAUGAUCAGACACACUGGGACUGAGACACGGCCCAGACUCCUACGGGAGGCAGCAGUGGGGAAUAUUGGACAAUGGGGGCAACCCUGAUCCAGCGAUGCCGCGUGAGUGAUGAAGGCCUUAGGGUUGUAAAACUCUUUCAGCGGGGAUGAUAAUGACAGUACCCGCAGAAGAAGCUCCGGCUAACUCCGUGCCAGCAGCCGCGGUAAUACGGAGGGAGCUAGCAUUGUUCGGAAUUACUGGGCGUAAAGCGCGCGUAGGCGGCUUGGAAAGUUGGAGGUGAAAGCCCAGAGCUCAACUCUGGAACUGCCUCCAAAACUCCCGAGCUAGAAUAUCAGAGAGGUGAGUAGAAUUCCUAGUGUAGAGGUGAAAUUCGUAGAUAUUAGGAAGANUACCAGUGGCGAANGCGGCUCACUGGCUGAUUAUUGACGCUGANGUGCGAAAGCGUGGGGAGCGAACAGGANUAGAUACCCUGGUAGUCCACGCCGUAAACGAUGGGUGCUAGGUGUUANGUAGCUUGCUACUUAGUGCCGUANCUAACGCGUUAAGCACCCCGNNNGGGGAGUACGNUCGCAAGAUUAAAACUCAAAGGANNUGANGGGGCCCGCACAAGCGGUGGANCAUGUNNUUAAUUC